AGCAUGCAAAAAUAAAGUCAAUUAAAAAGUAAUACAAGUGAAUGAUAAUUUGUUUAAAGGAACAUGAUAAGGAUUUGAUGAUGUAUCCCGUGCAAUGAUGCCAGAAUUGUUUUUCUCGGCGACGACGCCAGAAAUUCUUCCUGCUACUUGUAAACUGCGUUGGAUUUUUCCCUGAAGAGGAGGGGAGACACAACACAUUAGAGAUAAGUAUUUCCCACCAUGAUAGCCAAGGUUAUCAAAACAAUAGUAUAAUCACACAAACUCUUGUUGUCAGCACCUACACACAAAAGAGCAAACACUUGCAUCCAACACCGACAAGAGGGUUGUCAAGCCCCUUGAACUCGUUACUUGCAAGGAUUAAAUAGUGAUAGAAAGAUAAUAUAAAUAAAAUAGUGAUAGAAAGAUAAUAUAAAGAUAAUAUAAAUAUAANUAAUAUUUUUAGUUAUUUAGUAAUAUAUUUUAUGUAGACCGGGGGACCAUAGUUUUUGCUGGUGGCAUCUCUCUCGAAGAUAGCGUAUGGUGGGUAGACAAAUUACUGUUGGGUAGUUGAUAGAAUAGCGCAUAGUUAUGAAAUAUUUAUUCACGACAAUGAUCAUGUAUAUAGGCAUCACAUCCACAAGCAAGUAGACCGAAUCCUCCCUGAAUCUACUACUAUUACUCCACUCAUCGACUGCUAUCCAACAUGCAUCUAGAGUAUUAAGUAUAAAACAGAGUAAUGCUUGGAGAAGGUGACAUGAUGUAGACAAAGUAAACUCAAUUAGUACGAAUUAACCCCAGUGUUUUAUCCUUAAUGGAAGCAAUACAAAUACGUUGCAUGUCCCUUCCUAUCACUGGGAUUGAGCACCACAAGAUUGAACCCAUCACAACGCACCCCUAACACUAAAUAUAAACCAAUCUAGUCGGCUAAACUAAACUGAUAGAUUGGAGAGAAAUAUGAACCUAUAACAAUCAUCCAUAUAAGAAACCAGCAAAUAUUAAACAUAUUUUCUUGCAUAAUCUGAUCAUAAAUCCAUAAUUUAUUGGAUCCAAGCAAACACACCGCAAAGAAGAUUACAUUCAAUAGAUCACCGCUAGAAUCACUCUUAACUUUGUAUUAAAGAACACAUAGAGAGAUAUAGCAUCUAGGUACUAGCUAUGACCCUCUAGGUCUAUGGUAGACUACUCAUACAACAUCAUGGGAGCAGCAAGGUUAAUGUAGAGGCCCUCCAUGGUUGAUCCCCAUCCACCAGGGCAUUGAAACAUGGUUGUGGAUGGAAACACGGCGGAAGAGAGACUUGCGGCGGCAGAAAAAGUAUUUUGGGUGGCUAUCUGGUGUUAUUGUUCAGGAACGUUGCAUGGGAAACAAAAAAAUCCCUACGCACACGAAGACCUGUCAUGGUGAUGAUCAUCUAAGAGAGAGAGAUCUGAUCCACAUACCCUUGUAGAUCGCCAAGCGAGAAGCAUCAAGAAACACGGUUGAUGUAGUGGAACGUCUUCAUGAUCCAAAUCGCUAUCGUCCCACGAUCCGUCCCGAUCUAGCACCGAACGGACGGCACCUCCGCGUUCAUCACACAUAAAGCUCGAUGAUGAUCUCCGCCUUCUUGAUCCAGCAAGAGAGACGAAGAUGUAGCUGAAUUCUCCGGCAGCACGACGACGUGGCGAUGAUGAUGGUGGAGCUACUCCGGCAAGGCUUCGCCGUGUCGUACCAAUCUAGCUACGAGGUGUCACGAAGUAGUGGAGGGAGAGAGGUUUGCACAAAG
This 1739-nucleotide long non-coding RNA is filed under the name Hordeum vulgare. RNAcentral describes it as "long non-coding RNA (HVUL_LNC004032)". Lineage: Eukaryota; Viridiplantae; Streptophyta; Magnoliopsida; Poales; Poaceae. The record is from RNAcentral.